CGGCGCACGGGUGAGUAACGCGUGGGAACGUGCCCUUUGGUACGGAACAACAUCGGGAAACUGAUGCUAAUACCGUAUAUGACGAGAGUUGAAAGAUUUAUCGCCAAAGGAUCGGCCCGCGUUAGAUUAGUUUGUUGGUGAGGUAACGGCUCACCAAGACUACGAUCUAUAGCUGGUUUGAGAGGAUGAUCAGCCACACUGGGACUGAGACACGGCCCAG
This 220-nucleotide ribosomal RNA is filed under the name uncultured bacterium. Its description in RNAcentral is "partial 16S ribosomal RNA". It matches the Rfam family "Bacterial small subunit ribosomal RNA", at positions 96 to 334 of the family's 1533-position model. The record is from RNAcentral.